AAACCAACCGGGAUUGCCUUAGUAACGGCGAGUGAAGCGGCAAAAGCUCAAAUUUGAAAUCUGGUACCUUCGGUGCCCGAGUUGUAAUUUGGAGAGGGCAACUUUGGGGCCGUUCCUUGUCUAUGUUCCUUGGAACAGGACGUCAUAGAGGGUGAGAAUCCCGUGUGGCGAGGAGUGCGGUUCUUUGUAAAGUGCCUUCGAAGAGUCGAGUUGUUUGGGAAUGCAGCUCUAAGUGGGUGGUAAAUUCCAUCUAAAGCUAAAUAUUGGCGAGAGACCGAUAGCGAACAAGUACAGUGGUGGAAAGAUGAAAAGAACUUUGAAAAGAGAGUGAAAAAGUACGUGAAAUUGUUGAAGGGAAGGGCAUUUGAUCAGACAUGGUGUUUUGUGCCCUCUGCUCCUUGUGGGUAGGGGAAUCUCGCAUUUCACUGGGCCAGCAUCAGUUUUGGUGGCAGGAUAAAUCCAUAGGAAUGUAGCUUGCCUCGGUAAGUAUUAUAGCCUGUGGGAAUACUGCCAGCUGGGACUGAGGACUGCGACGUAAGUCAAGGAUGCUGGCAUAAUGGUUAUAUGCCGC
RNAcentral lists this ribosomal RNA (571 nucleotides) under Saccharomyces cerevisiae (brewer's yeast). RNAcentral describes it as "partial large subunit ribosomal RNA". It matches the Rfam family "Eukaryotic large subunit ribosomal RNA", at positions 62 to 648 of the family's 3401-position model. Lineage: Eukaryota; Fungi; Ascomycota; Saccharomycetes; Saccharomycetales; Saccharomycetaceae. The record is from RNAcentral.